This 410-nucleotide ribosomal RNA is filed under the name Yersinia ruckeri. Its description in RNAcentral is "bacterial SSU rRNA". It matches the Rfam family "Bacterial small subunit ribosomal RNA", at positions 58 to 464 of the family's 1533-position model. The record is from RNAcentral. Lineage: Bacteria; Pseudomonadati; Pseudomonadota; Gammaproteobacteria; Enterobacterales; Yersiniaceae.
CAAGUCGACCGGCAGCGGAAAGUAGCUUGCUACUUUGCCGGCGAGCGGCGGACGGGUGAGUAAUGUCUGGGGAUCUGCCUGAUGGAGGGGGAUAACUACUGGAAACGGUAGCUAAUACCGCAUAACCUCGCAAGAGCAAAGUGGGGGACCUUCGGGCCUCACGCCAUCGGAUGAACCCAGAUGGGAUUAGCUAGUAGGUGGGGUAAUGGCUCACCUAGGCGACGAUCCCUAGCUGGUCUGAGAGGAUGACCAGCCACACUGGAACUGAGACACGGUCCAGACUCCUACGGGAGGCAGCAGUGGGGAAUAUUGCACAAUGGGCGCAAGCCUGAUGCAGCCAUGCCGCGUGUGUGAAGAAGGCCUUCGGGUUGUAAAGCACUUUCAGCGAGGAGGAAGGGUUAAGUGUUAAU